RNAcentral lists this ribosomal RNA (441 nucleotides) under uncultured bacterium. Its description in RNAcentral is "partial 16S ribosomal RNA". It matches the Rfam family "Bacterial small subunit ribosomal RNA", at positions 338 to 795 of the family's 1533-position model. The record is from RNAcentral.
CCUACGGGGUGCAGCAGUCGGGAAUAUUGCGCAAUGGAGGAAAGUCUGACGCAGUGACGCCGCGUGCAGGAAGAAGGCUUUCGGAUUGUAAACUGCUUUAGACAGGGAAGAAAAAAGAGAGUAGCUGUAAAAUAAGCUCCGGCUAACUACGUGCGAGCAGCCGCGGUAAUACGUAGGGAGCAAGCGUUAUCCGGAUUUAUUGGGGGUAAAGGGUGCGUAGGCGGGAAGUCAAGUUGGUUGUGAAAUCCCUAGGCUUAACUGAGGAACUGCAACCAAAACUAACUUUCUUGAGUGCUGGUGAGGAAAGUGGAAUGCCUAGUGUAGCGGUGAAAUGCUUAGAUAUUAGGAGGAACACCGGUGGCGAAGGCGACUUACUGGACAGUAACUGACGUUGAGGCACGAAAGUGUGGGGAGCAAACAGGAUUAGAUACCCGAGUAGUC